CACGGAGGGUGCAAGCGUUAUUCGGAAUCACUGGGCGUAAAGAGCGCGUAGGCGGUCUCUUAAGUCAGAUGUGAAAGCCCGGGGCUAAACCCCGGAAGUGCAUUUGAAACUAAGGGACUUGAGUAUGGGAGAGAGAAGUGGAAUUCCUGGUGUAGCGGUGAAAUGCGUAGAUAUCAGGAGGAACACAGGUGGCGAUGGCGACUUCCUGGACCAAUACUGACGCUGAGGCGCGAAGGCGUGGGGAGCAAACAGG
Molecule: ribosomal RNA, 253 nt
Filed under: uncultured bacterium
Lineage: Bacteria
Description: partial 16S ribosomal RNA
Rfam family: Bacterial small subunit ribosomal RNA
Source: RNAcentral